Molecule: ribosomal RNA, 361 nt
Filed under: uncultured soil bacterium
Lineage: Bacteria
Description: bacterial SSU rRNA
Rfam family: Bacterial small subunit ribosomal RNA
Source: RNAcentral
AGAACGAACGCUGGCGGCAUGCCUAAUACAUGCAAGUCGAACGAAGGCUUCGGCCUUAGUGGCGCACGGGUGCGUAACGCGUGGGAAUCUGCCCCUUGGUUCGGAAUAACAGUUGGAAACGACUGCUAAUACCGGAUGAUGACGAAAGUCCAAAGAUUUAUCGCCAAGGGAUGAGCCCGCGUAGGAUUAGCUAGUUGGUGAGGUAAAGGCUCACCAAGGCGACGAUCCUUAGCUGGUCUGAGAGGAUGAUCAGCCACACUGGGACUGAGACACGGCCCAGACUCCGUACGGGAGCAGCAGGUAGGGAUAGUGACAAGUGGGACGAAAGCCUAGACUCCGAGCAAUGGACCGCGUAGAGUGA